RNAcentral lists this ribosomal RNA (288 nucleotides) under uncultured bacterium. Its description in RNAcentral is "partial 16S ribosomal RNA". It matches the Rfam family "Bacterial small subunit ribosomal RNA", at positions 44 to 334 of the family's 1533-position model. The record is from RNAcentral.
GUGCUUAACACAUGCAAGUCGAGUGCGCGGUGGCAAUACUGGCGCACGGCGCACGGGUGCGUAACACGUGGGUAACCUGCCCUCCAAAGGGGGAUAACCCGCCGAAAGGCGGGCUAAUACCGCAUGACAUUCCGGUGGCUUCGGACGCCGGAAUCAAAGCCCGCAAGGGCGUUGGAGGAGGGGCCCGCGCCCGAUUAGCUAGUUGGUGAGGUAACGGCUCACCAAGGCUAUGAUCGGUAGCCGGUCUGAGAGGAUGGCCGGCCACACUGGAACUGAGACACGGUCCAG